AUCCAAUACGCUUUCUCAAGGACAACAAGAGAAUCAUAACAUGAAAUCCCAAAAGUUUCUUUUGGUUCUCCUUGCUGCCAUGGCUGUGUCUGCCCUUUUAGCAACCUCACGUACUCUUCCUAUCUCUCUCACUACCUAGUUUUUCCAAAUGAUUCUAACACCUAACUUUUUUUUUUCCAACUUGGUCGCAUGAAAUUCAUCUUGUUUUUGCAAAACUUCAUGUGAAGAUGGGAAAAGAGUUG
Molecule: long non-coding RNA, 242 nt
Filed under: Prunus dulcis (almond)
Lineage: Eukaryota; Viridiplantae; Streptophyta; Magnoliopsida; Rosales; Rosaceae
Description: sRNA ncRNA
Source: RNAcentral